UACGUAGGUGGCAAGCGUUGUCCGGAAUUAUUGGGCGUGAAGCGCGCGCAGGCGGUCUUUUAAGUCUGAUGUGAAAGCCCACGGCUCAACCGUGGAGGGUCAUUGGAAACUGGGAGACGUGAGUACAGAAGAGGAGAGUGGAAUUCCACGUGUAGCGGUGAAAUGCGUAGAUAUGUGGAGGAACACCAGUGGCGAAGGCGACUCUCUGGUCUGUAACUUACGCUGAGGCGCGAAAGCGUGGGGAGCAAACAGG
Molecule: ribosomal RNA, 253 nt
Filed under: uncultured bacterium
Lineage: Bacteria
Description: partial 16S ribosomal RNA
Rfam family: Bacterial small subunit ribosomal RNA
Source: RNAcentral